UCGGGAAUUUUGGGCAAUGGGCGAAAGCCUGACCCAGCAACGCCGCGUGAAGGAUGAAGUAUUUCGGUAUGUAAACUUCGAAAGAAUAGGAAGAAUAAAUGACGGUACUAUUUAUAAGGUCCGGCUAACUACGUGCCAGCAGCCGCGGUAAUACGUAGGGACCAAGCGUUGUUCGGAUUUACUGGGCGUAAAGGGCGCGUAGGCGGCAAUUCAAGUCAUCUGUGAAAUCUCCGGGCUUAACUCGGAACGGUCAGAUGAUACUGCUUUGCUAGAGUGCAGAAGGGGCAAUCGGAAUUCUUGGUGUAGCGGUGAAAUGCGUAGAUAUCAAGAGGAACACCUGAGGUGAAGACGGGUUGCUGGGCUGACACUGACGCUGAGGCGCGAAAGCCAGGGGAGCAAACGGGAUUAGAUACCCAAGUAGUCCCUGAGCGGGCUGGCAAGGCG
This 444-nucleotide ribosomal RNA is filed under the name uncultured bacterium. RNAcentral describes it as "bacterial SSU rRNA". It matches the Rfam family "Bacterial small subunit ribosomal RNA", at positions 355 to 822 of the family's 1533-position model. The record is from RNAcentral.